UGCGCAGGCGGACUAUUAAGUCAGUGGUGAAAUCUCUCGGCUCAACCGAGAAACUGCCAUUGAAACUGAUAGCCUUGAGUAUGGUUGUGGUAGGCGGAAUAUAGCAUGUAGCGGUGAAAUGCUUAGAUAUGCUAUAGAACACCGAUCGCGAAGGCAGCUUACCAAACCAUUACUGACGCUCAUGCACGAAGGCGUGGGGAGCAAACAGGAUUAGAUACCCUGGUAGUCC
Molecule: ribosomal RNA, 229 nt
Filed under: uncultured bacterium
Lineage: Bacteria
Description: partial 16S ribosomal RNA
Rfam family: Bacterial small subunit ribosomal RNA
Source: RNAcentral